CAAGUUGAACGCAACAAAGACACCAGAAGCUUGCUCUACCGUCUUUGUUGAGUAGCGAACGGGUGAGUAACGCGUGGGUAACCUGCCUUAUAGCGGGGAUAACUAUUGGAAACGAUAGCUAAUACCGCAUAACAAUAGAGAUUGCAUAAUCUUAUUUGAAAGUGCCAACUGGUACACUAUGAGAUGGACCCGCGUUGUAUUAGCUAGUUGGUAGUGUAAUGGACUACCAAGGCGAUGAUACAUAGCCGACCUGAGAGGGUGAUCGGCCACAUUGGGACUGAGACACGGCCCAAACUCCUACGGGAGGCAGCAGUAGGGAAUCUUCGGCAAUGGACGAAAGUCUGACCGAGCAACGCCGCGUGAGUGAAGAAGGUUUUCGGAUCGUAAAACUCUGUUGUUAGAGAAGAAUGUUGAUUAGAGUGGAAAAUUAAUCAAGUGACGGUAUCUAACCAGAAAGGGACGGCUAACUACGUG
This 474-nucleotide ribosomal RNA is filed under the name uncultured bacterium. RNAcentral's name for it is "bacterial SSU rRNA". It matches the Rfam family "Bacterial small subunit ribosomal RNA", at positions 58 to 507 of the family's 1533-position model. The record is from RNAcentral.